CCGUACCUUUAUAAAAGUUACGUCUGCAAGCCGAGAUCAUAUAGCAAACUUUGAAGCGACUGUGUAAUAUUGAUUCAGAUAUAAUCAAAAUGAGUGACGGUAAGACUGCUACCAACAACUUCGAGGCCGAAUAUUACGACCAAUAUGACUACUACAACAUAGAAGACGACAAGCAUUCAGGUGCAAGUAGUCGAAAAGGUCGUUCUAAAGCCGAAUCCGCCAAACGAAGUGACUCUUCCACCAACACAUGGACGGUGUAUGGUAAAUUGGAAACAGAAAGCAAUAACAGGGCUAAGAAACAAGCACAACAAAACCAAGGCAAAUCUUGAAAGAAGAUAUUCUUAAACAAGGAAUCGCCAGGGAAUAUCGGACUAUGCCACUCUCACAAAGUGUCGGAACGGAAAAAUCAUCGAGAAAAGUUAUGUGGACAAGACUUUUUUGCGCAAGAUGCCCUAAAUAAUUAUUAGCGCUAGGGAUUUUAUAUGUGGAAUUUGUGUAUUGAUUUUUCAUAAUUGUGGUGAGAUGAAAAUAAAGGCGCAGAGAAAAAAUA
Long non-coding RNA from Styela clava, 550 nucleotides. RefSeq lists it as uncharacterized. The record is from RefSeq and is a predicted model, not a curated record. Lineage: Eukaryota; Metazoa; Chordata; Ascidiacea; Stolidobranchia; Styelidae.